RNAcentral lists this ribosomal RNA (301 nucleotides) under uncultured bacterium. Its description in RNAcentral is "partial 16S ribosomal RNA". It matches the Rfam family "Bacterial small subunit ribosomal RNA", at positions 509 to 807 of the family's 1533-position model. The record is from RNAcentral.
CAGUCGCCACUGUAACACGGAGGGAGCUAGCGUUGUUCGGAAUUACUGGGCGUAAAGCGCGCGUAGGCGGUUACUCAAGUCAGAGGUGAAAGCCCGGGGCUCAACCCCGGAACUGCCUUUGAAACUAGGUGACUAGAAUCUUGGAGAGGUCAGUGGAAUUCCGAGUGUAGAGGUGAAAUUCGUAGAUAUUCGGAAGAACACCAGUGGCGAAGGCGACUGACUGGACAAGUAUUGACGCUGAGGUGCGAAAGCGUGGGGAGCAAACAGGAUUAGAUACCCGGGUAGUCCCUGUCUCUUAUAC